Molecule: ribosomal RNA, 253 nt
Filed under: uncultured bacterium
Lineage: Bacteria
Description: partial 16S ribosomal RNA
Rfam family: Bacterial small subunit ribosomal RNA
Source: RNAcentral
UACAGAGGGGGCAAGCGUUAUUCGGAAUUAUUGGGCGUAAAGGGCGCGUAGGCGGUUUUUUAAGUCGGAUGUGCAAUCCCUGGGCUCAACCCAGGAACUGCAUCCGAGACUGGAAGGCUAGAGUACUGGAGAGGGUGGUGGAAUUCCUCGUGUAGCGGUGAAAUGCGUAGAGAUGCGGAGGAACACCAGUGGCGAAAGCGGCUUUCUGGUCCUUAACUGACGCUGAGGCGCGAAAGCAUGGGGAGCGAACGGG